Molecule: ribosomal RNA, 465 nt
Filed under: Vreelandella stevensii
Lineage: Bacteria; Pseudomonadati; Pseudomonadota; Gammaproteobacteria; Oceanospirillales; Halomonadaceae
Description: partial 16S ribosomal RNA
Rfam family: Bacterial small subunit ribosomal RNA
Source: RNAcentral
CCUACGGGCGGCAGCAGUGGGGAAUAUUGGACAAUGGGCGAAAGCCUGAUCCAGCCAUGCCGCGUGUGUGAAGAAGGCCUUCGGGUUGUAAAGCACUUUCAGUGGGGAAGAAAGCCUUGGGGCUAAUACCCUCGAGGAAGGACAUCACCCACAGAAGAAGCACCGGCUAACUCCGUGCCAGCAGCCGCGGUAAUACGGAGGGUGCGAGCGUUAAUCGGAAUUACUGGGCGUAAAGCGCGCGUAGGCGGUUUGAUAAGCCGGUUGUGAAAGCCCCGGGCUCAACCUGGGAACGGCAUCCGGAACUGUCAGGCUAGAGUGCAGGAGAGGAAGGUAGAAUUCCCGGUGUAGCGGUGAAAUGCGUAGAGAUCGGGAGGAAUACCAGUGGCGAAGGCGGCCUUCUGGACUGUCACUGACGCUGAGGUGCGAAAGCGUGGGUAGCAAACAGGAUUAGAUACCCUAGUAGUC